ACGGGUGCGUAACGCGUAUGCAACCUACCUCAAUCAGGGGGAUAGCCCGAAGAAAUUCGGAUUAACACCGCAUAAAAACACAGGAUAGCAUUAUCUAAUGUUCAAAUAUUUAUAGGAUUGAGAUGGGCAUGCGUGUCAUUAGCUAGUUGGCGGGGUAACGGCCCACCAAGGCGACGAUGACUAGGGGAUCUGAGAGGAUGACCCCCCACACUGGUACUGAGACACGGACCAGACUCCUACGGGAGGCAGCAGUAAGGAAUAUUGGUCAAUGGAGGCAACUCUGAACCAGCCAUGCCGCGUGCAGGAAGACAGCCCUCUGGGUCGUAAACUGCUUUUAUUCGGGAAUAAACCUUAUUACGUGUAAUAAGCUGAAUGUACCGAAGGAAUAAGGAUCGGCUAACUCCGUGCCAGCAGCCGCGGUAAUACGGAGGAUCCAAGCGUUAUCCGGAUUUAUUGGGUUUAAAGGGUGCGUAGGCGGCUUAUUAAGUCAGGGGUGAAAGACGGUGGCUCAACCAUCGCAGUGCCUUUGAUACUGAUGAGCUUGAAUGAACUAGAGGUAGGCGGAAUGUGACAAGUAGCGGUGAA
Molecule: ribosomal RNA, 585 nt
Filed under: Pedobacter sp. BvIRR033
Lineage: Bacteria; Pseudomonadati; Bacteroidota; Sphingobacteriia; Sphingobacteriales; Sphingobacteriaceae
Description: bacterial SSU rRNA
Rfam family: Bacterial small subunit ribosomal RNA
Source: RNAcentral